AACAAAUCAACUUUUUAGUUUUUGGGUAUAAUGUUUAACUCUUCGUCUUAUUCAAAAAAAUUACGAUUGAUCAUUUUAUUUUUUGUAGAUGAUAAACAUGAAUAGUACUUGAUGUGUGACUAAUUUUUUAAAAGUUUCUUGAAAAUUUUUCAAAUAAGACGGAUGGUCAAAUGCUUGAUAAAAAACCGAAAAGUUGGAUUUUUG
Molecule: microRNA precursor, 204 nt
Filed under: Oryza brachyantha (malo sina)
Lineage: Eukaryota; Viridiplantae; Streptophyta; Magnoliopsida; Poales; Poaceae
Description: MIR812 microRNA precursor family
Rfam family: MIR812 microRNA precursor family
Source: Rfam by way of RNAcentral